GUUAUAUGGUCAAGUGAAGAAGCGCAUACGGUGGAUGCCUUGGCAGUCAGAGGCGAUGAAAGACGUGGUAGCCUGCGAAAAGCUUCGGGGAGUCGGCAAACAGACUGUGAUCCGGAGAUGUCUGAAUGGGGGAACCCAGCUGUCAUAAGACAGUUACCUUACACUGAAUACAUAGGUGUAUGGAGCGAACCAGGGGAACUGAAACAUCUAAGUACCCUGAGGAAAAGAAAUCAACCGAGAUUCCUUAGUAGUGGCGAGCGAACGGGGACCAGCCCUUAAGUUGAUUUGAGAUUAGCGGAACGCUCUGGAAAGUGCGGCCAUAGUGGGUGAUAGCCCUGUACGCGAAAAUCUCUUGUCAAUGAAAUCGAGUAGGACGGGGCACGAGAAACCUUGUCUGAACAUGGGGGGACCAUCCUCCAAGGCUAAAUACUACUGACUGACCGAUAGUGAACCAGUACCGUGAGGGAAAGGCGAAAAGAACCGCGGAGAGCGGAGUGAAAUAGAUCCUGAAACCGUAUGCGUACAAGCAGUGGGAGCCCACUUUGUUGGGUGACUGCGUACCUUUUGUAUAAUGGGUCAGCGACUUAUUUUCAGUGGCGAGCUUAACCGAAUAGGGGAGGCGUAGCGAAAGCGAGUCUUAAUAGGGCGUCUAGUCGCUGGAAUAGACCGAAACCGGGCGAUCUAUCCAUGGGCAGGUUGAAGGUUAGGUAACACUGACUGGAGGACCGAACCGACUACCGUUGAAAGUUAGCGGAUGACCUGUGGAUCGGAGUGAAAGGCUAAUCAAGCUCGGAGAUAGCUGGUUCUCCUCGAAAGCUAUUUAGGUAGCGCCUCAUGUAUCACUGUAGGGGGUAGAGCACUGUUUCGGCUAGGGGGUCAUCCCGACUUACCAAACCGAUGCAAACUCCGAAUACCUACAAGUGCCGAGCAUGGGAGACACACGGCGGGUGCUAACGUCCGUCGUGAAAAGGGAAACAACCCAGACCG
RNAcentral lists this ribosomal RNA (987 nucleotides) under Pseudomonas lutea. RNAcentral's name for it is "bacterial LSU rRNA". It matches the Rfam family "Bacterial large subunit ribosomal RNA", at positions 1 to 1034 of the family's 2925-position model. The record is from RNAcentral. Lineage: Bacteria; Pseudomonadati; Pseudomonadota; Gammaproteobacteria; Pseudomonadales; Pseudomonadaceae.